RNAcentral lists this ribosomal RNA (467 nucleotides) under uncultured bacterium. RNAcentral's name for it is "partial 16S ribosomal RNA". It matches the Rfam family "Bacterial small subunit ribosomal RNA", at positions 28 to 507 of the family's 1533-position model. The record is from RNAcentral.
GAUGAACGCUGGCGGCGUGCUUAACACAUGCAAGUCGAACGGAAAGGCCCAAGCUUGCUUGGGUACUCGAGUGGCGAACGGGUGAGUAACACGUGGGUGAUCUGCCCUGCACUUCGGGAUAAGCCUGGGAAACUGGGUCUAAUACCGGAUAGGACCACUUCUUGGAUGUUGUGGUGGAAAGUUUUUUCGGUGUGGGAUGAGCUCGCGGCCUAUCAGCUUGUUGGUGGGGUAAUGGCCUACCAAGGCGUCGACGGGUAGCCGGCCUGGGAGGGUGUACGGCCACAUUGGGACUGAGAUACGGCCCAGACUGCUACGGGAGGCAGCAGUGGGGAAUAUUGCACAAUGGGCGCAAGCCUGAUGCAGCGACGCCGCGUGGGGGAUGACGGCCUUCGGGUUGUAAACGCCUUUCGCUAGGGACGAAGCGUUUUGUGACGGUACCUGGAGAAGAAGCACCGGCUAACUACGUG